UGAGGAAUAUUGGUCAAUGGGCGAGAGCCUGAACCAGCCAAGUAGCGUGCAGGAUGACGGCCCUAUGGGUUGUAAACUGCUUUUAUGUGGGGAUAAAGUGCGUGACGUGUCAUGCAUUCAGGUACCACAUGAAUAAGGACCGGCUAAUUCCUUGCCAGCAGCCGCGGUAAUACGGAAGGUCCGGGCGUUAUCCGGAUUUAUUGGGUUUAAAGGGAGCGUAGGCUGUCUAUUAAGCGUGUUGUGAAAUAUACCGGCUCAACCGGUGGCUUGCAGCGCGAACUGGUCGACUUGAGUAUGCAGGAAGUACGCGGAAUUCAUGGUGUAGCGGUGAAAUGCUUAGAUAUCAUGAAGAACUCCGAUUGCGAAGGCAGCUUACGGGAGUGUUACUGACGCUUAAGCUCGAAGGUGCGGGUAUCGAACAGG
Molecule: ribosomal RNA, 423 nt
Filed under: Verrucomicrobiota bacterium
Lineage: Bacteria; Pseudomonadati; Verrucomicrobiota
Description: Verrucomicrobia bacterium partial 16S ribosomal RNA
Rfam family: Bacterial small subunit ribosomal RNA
Source: RNAcentral